AUUUUAAAUUUAGAAAAGAAUAAUUCAAUAUUUCUAUAAAAUAUAAAGGAGUUAGUUUCUAUUGCAAAGGUCUAAUAGUUAACCUCCUUUCUUAGAUCCUACCUAAGGCUUUCAUAUUAUCAAUUAGUAUAUUUCAUCAACCUGUCCAAAUGGAAGCGGCUCUAGCAAUCUGCACAAAAGGUUGCGUCCACAAAAACUCUUGAUUCAUUUCUGAUGAGAUUGCAGGUGACCAAGAACUUUGAAGCUCGACAACUUCAGCCUUCUCUAAAAUGAACAGUAGAAAUACGGAACCGCGAGAGGAUCUUCAACCUGCAGUCCACGAUAUGAAAGGUCCACACACAAAGAGUUACAGCACAUCUACUUGCUAAAAAGUUUACUACUUUUCUUCCAAAGGGCUCUCGGUUUGCUAGAUUCUAUUACAGUGGAAGCAGAUGAAACUGGAAAAUAUGGAGAACUUCAAACAAGCAGCUGUUAAAUCACCAUCCGAAGAUUAAUUACAGAGAUUAGAGGAGACAAGUCAUGAAGUAAGAUUCACCUAGUUGAGGAAAGUGUUAAUUAAAAGAUCUUACGAACCGUAGGCUGAAUGACGGAUAACGUGUACAGAUCGCGGUUUCCUGUACUGAGGUUUCUUGGGGAAAUAUGCAGUUAGCGUUACAAGCGGCUUGGACAGUCGGAAUCCUAGUAUGGGCACAAUCGCAACUACCGCAGUACAAUGGUAGCGUCUAGUAACAGAUGUAGCUUUCUAUCAGUCGGCAAGGUUAACACACUCCACAGACUAAUCGAGAUGUGUAGGAUUCUCAUCACCACGCUUCUUAGCCACCUUUCUUCAAUAUUGACUAAUGAACGUCCUAAACUAUCAGCUCUAGAUAUUAGUAGCCUUCCACUAUCGAUCGUUGUUGUGGUAAUGAAUAUUUGUCCUAGUAAGUAAGCAGAAACACAACAACAUUAGCACCAGCAUGAUCGUGGACGUACAAGUUCAUCAAACAGUUGACUGACCUUCAAGUUGAGAUGAUUAUCAGUGGGGGACAAGUAUUGAACCAGAACGCAUGUGAGGCAUUAACAGGGUCAAUUGGCGUUGCUGAUAAUUGCAAUCAGUGCAAGAUAGAACCAUAGAGAAGUAG
RNAcentral lists this long non-coding RNA (1121 nucleotides) under Physcomitrium patens. Its description in RNAcentral is "long non-coding RNA (PPAT_LNC008267)". Lineage: Eukaryota; Viridiplantae; Streptophyta; Bryopsida; Funariales; Funariaceae. The record is from RNAcentral.